RNAcentral lists this long non-coding RNA (396 nucleotides) under Elaeis guineensis (African oil palm). RNAcentral describes it as "long non-coding RNA (EGUI_LNC078121)". The record is from RNAcentral. Lineage: Eukaryota; Viridiplantae; Streptophyta; Magnoliopsida; Arecales; Arecaceae.
AUCAAUGUUCCGGAUAGAUUAGCACUUUCUAUGUAUGCUCGAUGGAGAGGGUGGCAGAUCUCAUAUGCCACUUGUGUGAGACACUAAUACAAGGAAGUGGAUGCUCAUUAGAGAAUGAGUUCACUGAAUUGAUCCAACUUAAGAAACAUCUUAUGGAAUUUACUUACCUGUCAAGAGAUAUUUUCUUAUAGUGGGAGUUGUGCAUGUAAUCCUUUGACCUGAGACUACCAUAGAACCUUGUAUACAUGAAUCUAUAUUUUUUGGUUCAUACUCAUUCAUGACUUAGUCAUGUACGGGGUGUUCUAGAUAUGGUAGAAUGUGUAUGGAGGUUGUGAGUAGGUCAACAUGAAAUCGAUAACUCCUGGUAAGAGAAAAUUGCAUCCUAGUUGUUCUGAU